This is a long non-coding RNA of Falco peregrinus (peregrine falcon), 1286 nucleotides long. RefSeq lists it as uncharacterized. The transcript has 2 exons. NCBI's taxonomy places the organism in Eukaryota, Metazoa, Chordata, Aves, Falconiformes, Falconidae. The record is from RefSeq and is a predicted model, not a curated record.
GCAAGAAAACAUUGGAAAGCUGCAGCAUUGCCUUUCCCCCUCCGGCCUUUGGACAUUUUAAACAGGCAGCAGAUGCCAAAGGAUGGGGAAGUUGCCAAAGAGUUGAAAGGGCCCCCUUGUUAGAGAGCAGAGUGGCAAGGGAGGGGGUUUUCCGAGAGCUAUUUAAACAUUAACCAGCACAACAAUUGCCCUGUGUUGCCAUUUCCCAUUGCCACCCUGGUCUUUCACCUCUGCGUGGGUGGAUCUGCGGAGUCCUGAGCUGCCUCCAGCCCUGGAGACACGGCCUGUCCACUGCUGGCACGGUGCUGCGCUGGUGACAGGAGCCUCUGCGCCAUCGCCUCUGCCUGCAGGACUUCAGUACCGUCCCUGCAACUGCAGAGGAGCCCACAGAAGCCAAAUACAGACUUGAAAGCAAUGUCAGGUGGGAUCAGGAGCUUUGUGUUUGCUCAUCUCCGCAGACACCAACUUUUGGGAAUGCUCCAGCACCAAGGGAUCACAACAAGCUUUGUAAGCUGACAGUAGUCCGCUCCAGCUGCAAAACUGGGGUAUCAUGAGGCCAAAGUAAUAAAAAAAUAAUAAUAAAUAACAAUAAUAAUACUACUAUAAUCCGUGGGUUGAUGAAGAGCUGGGUGAGAUGGAUCUCUGCCUCCCAUUCCCGUGUCUGCCAAGCAGGCUGUCAUCCCUCUUCCCCAGCACCCCACAGCCAUGGGCUUAGCAGCUCUUCUCACAAACUCACCUCAGGCUGCAGCAUUUUUGUGAGCCAUAAGAUGCCAUUAGUCAAGGCUGUCAGGGAGGGAGGAUAAGAGGGUCGUUAGGCACAUGGGAUUAUUUCUAGUCACCUGUUGGCUGGCUACAGCUCAGUGCAAACACCUGGGGGAUUUAUAGGCUUCAUCACUCACCUUCCACCAGUAUUUUAAUGUAGUUGCUGGAAAGGUGCUCUUUUUUGAAAGCUUUCCUCCCUUAAAUCUCACUCAAAUAUCUGAGGGAAGCAAACACAAGCUAAGCUGAAAUAAACAGAAUGGUUUAUUAGAGCAAAUAUUCCCAGGUUGGGCUCUCCAUAUUCCCUAGUCAUCAUGAACUACCCUCAAUACGAACAUGCUUGCACUGAAAUGUCUCAAUUUCACUCUACUAGGCAAGCUACUGGCUUUUUUUGCAUGUUAUGUGUCUAAAGUACCUGGUGCCCUGCAGACCUGACUCACAGCAGCGGCCUUUUACUGCUCAGACAAAAAGUACAUGUGAUUGGGGGUAAUUCACGUUGAAGAAGCUCUGGAAUGGAGCUGACUGAA